AUGUGUUGGACCAAGGAGGCCCUGAAACUGUCCUGUGGUUGUCAUGGCAACCACACAUUCCUGAGCUGGACCCCUGCAGGCAUCUCCAGGAAACGCUUCCAUAAUUGCCUCAGCCCUUCCCCAGAUAAAAGCAGGAAAGUGAAACCAAAGCACCCCUUGGUUCCUGGCUCCAUAAUGGCUGCUGCUCCUACACUGAAGCCCAAAGGCUGGUCGAAGAUAGCCAUCUGUGCCCAUUGCCAACAACCCUUCAAAGCACCCACAGGCCCCAAGGCCCCUGAAUACUGCUGCCCUUGCUUCUCUCAGUUGAAGAAGAAAAAAACGACUGCCAACCAACGUCCCUCGAAGGAUGAGAACAAGGCAAAGAAAAAGGAGGACAGAAAGGAAGAGAGAAGAACUGAAGGGGAGGAAGUCCAGGGGCUGUGUGAGGAGCAUGGGGAAACACUGAUUUGGUUCUGCAACCAGGAGGCAGCUCCCAACUGUAAGUUUUGCAAGGCAUCUGAGCUCCAUACAUGUCACACAGUGAUACCCAUUGAAGGUGCUGUCCAGGAGUACAAGGAGAAAUUGCAGCACACAGCAAAUUUGCUUGAGCAACAACUGAAAGAGUCUGAAAAGCUGAUAUACCAAGAAGGGAGGAAAAAAGCAGCAUGGAAGGCAAGUGCCAAGUUUGCAAAUCUCCAGGAGUUGCUCCUGCCCGGGACGGUCCAGGGCCCUGAUUCGGGCCACGUUUUAAUCAGGGCAGCGGGGGGCGGGGUUGAAGCUGGGAUUGGGGAGACAGUGGCUGUUUUUAAUAUUGGUCACGUUAAAAUCUUGAAUGUGCUAUUUAAGAAUCAUGGCUGCGAAUGUGCUAUUUAAGAAUCAUGGCUGCGUUAGAGGUAUUCCUGUAGUAUUCCUGCAGCAUAAUUCCCCCCUAAUCACCUAGAGAUGGAAAUAAAACAGAAGUGCCCCUAGGCA
RNAcentral lists this long non-coding RNA (951 nucleotides) under Pogona vitticeps (central bearded dragon). RNAcentral's name for it is "lncRNA (ENSPVIG00000004082.1)". Lineage: Eukaryota; Metazoa; Chordata; Lepidosauria; Squamata; Agamidae. The record is from RNAcentral.